GACGCAUUGGGUGGCAUCAUGGUGAAUUUGUGUCGGUAUUCCAAGUCGGGAACCACAGACUUGUUCACGGAGCCCACCCAGAGCAAGCACCUGCCAUGAGGGAGAGGAAAGCUGUGAGGACCCUGAGCCACAUGUCACAACCUCAGGAGGCAAUACAGAGAGAACCUGCCUGGGCGGCAAUCCUUUACAAAGAAGAGAGGCUUCUAGGCACUGACCAUUCUGGUACAUGUUACCUGGGGAGGUGGAGCAAACAUUUCCAUGGUUUCGGUGUUUGACUAGCUGUUAGCAGAGAGUAAGACCCUGGGGCUGGCAGGGAAGUUAAGCAAAGAACUCAGGAGGAGAAAGCACAAAGGAGAAGAUCGGAGGAGGGUAGAGGGAGAAGGGACUCCUAGAUGCUCAACCGAAGCUGACCAUAUAGACUGAAGAUUUUCAAUAAGAAAAAUAAAUAUGUAUCUUACAAUCUCCCUGGGCUCUGUGAAUAUCUGUGAUUGACUUGUAAUUGUUGUUUUUUUUUUUUUCAUAUUGGGCUAUAUCUGCACACUCAUGUUAGUGAUUUGGGCCAUACAGAGAAGUUAUAAACGUAUGAGGAUUUGCUUCUGUUUUCUUUUCUGGCAAGUACAGGAUGUUAAAUUUGUUUGUUCUUUCCUAAUUUGAAUCAUUAGAUAAAGAAGGAACUAGUUGCUGGGAAUUCUAAAGAAGAGGUAAAGUGGAUUGAAGAAAAGGAAUAGUAAUUUCUGGAAGGAAAUCGUAACAGAAGAGGAAGGAUGA
Molecule: long non-coding RNA, 768 nt
Organism: Manis pentadactyla (Chinese pangolin)
Lineage: Eukaryota; Metazoa; Chordata; Mammalia; Pholidota; Manidae
Exons: 3
Source: RefSeq, a predicted model, not a curated record